RNAcentral lists this ribosomal RNA (465 nucleotides) under uncultured bacterium. RNAcentral describes it as "bacterial SSU rRNA". It matches the Rfam family "Bacterial small subunit ribosomal RNA", at positions 8 to 518 of the family's 1533-position model. The record is from RNAcentral.
AGAGUUUGAUUAUGGCUCAGAACGAACGCUGGCGGCAGGCCUAACACAUGCAAGUCGAGCGCGCCCUUCGGGGUGAGCGGCGGACGGGUUAGUAACGCGUGGGAACGUACCCUUUGGUAGGGAAUAGCCACUGGAAACGGUGAGUAAUACCCUAUGAGCCCUUCGGGGGAAAGAUUUAUCGCCAAAGGAUCGGCCCGCGUUAGAUUAGGUAGUUGGUGGGGUAAUGGCCUACCAAGCCUACGAUCUAUAGCUGGUUUUAGAGGAUGAUCAGCAACACUGGGACUGAGACACGGCCCAGACUCCUACGGGAGGCAGCAGUGGGGAAUCUUGGACAAUGGGGGCAACCCUGAAUCCAGCCAUGCCGCGUGAGUGAAGAAGGCCUUAGGGUCGUAAAGCUCUUUCGCCUGUGAAGAUAAUGACGGUAGCAGGUAAAGAAACCCCGGCUAACUCCGUGCCAGCCGCUGC